AGUUUAGUUUAUCUUAUUUUACAAGUCGAAUUCGCACUUUUAGCACUAGACGUACAACUUCUUCCGAAGUACUUGAAUUCAAUAUGUUGUUUUUUUCCAUUGUAUUGUUCAGCAUAAUUUAUACAUGCACAUCAGAUGUAUAUUAUCAUAAGUCUUGGGAUUUAAUAGAGACAUCCUCCACUUUCAUAGAUAUAUUUUUAAAAAGAUAUUCGUCUGAAGUGUCGCCAGAAUGUCGAACAUUAUUGAAGGAAUAUCAUGCAAACAUCGACAGUUUUGGAAAUUGGGGAUUGCAAAUGUAUCAAGCUUCAGCAAAGUUGCCGGUGGGGAUGCUUAAAGGAAAUGUAUUGAAUAUGGGCGAUUAUGACUCAUGUGUCAAUUUAGCUGCAGAGACCAACCGGGGGACAGUAAACGGAAAGUAUUGUCUUGCAUUUGAAACUGCUAAUGAUAAUUACAUUUCUAAUUUGAUAUUAAGAAGAUAUUCAAUGGAGAAGAUUUUAAAUGAGUCGGACGACAUAAGUAAAAAUAAUAUAAUUCUUUGGUGGGGUUUGUGCUAUCCUAGUGUUUGUACGACAAAAGAAGCUGAAAAGCUGUUUCAACAUUUUUUUGCAAAUAUAACCAUCAAAGAGGAGUUCUGUCAAACUAAAUACCAAAAAGUACCUUUCAGCAAUACGGAAAUUAUAGCAAUUGGUCUUCUGUUUUCCUGGCUAUUAUUUAUUGUAAUAUCUACAUUGUAUGAUGUUUACAGAACGUUUUUGUUGGAUUCAACUAAUUCAUUGCUUUCAUCACUUUCCCUUUGGAAGAAUUGGAAAAAGAUAUUUUAUGAAGAUCCACACCCUGAACGUUUAAGUUGUAUUGAUGGGAUUAGUGUUUUAGCAAUAUUUUCAAUGAUGUUAGGAAACGAAGGUUUAUUUUUGGGUUUUACUCCACAAUUACGUUCACCGUCAUUCGAAAAGUGGAUUCGCAGCUACUUGUCGUUUGAUGUGGUUGGAUCAACUUUUAGCUCGGAAACCUUCCUUCUUGUGGGAGGUUUUCUGACAACAUACUCUUUCUUACAAAAAAUGGAUAGAUAUGGAAACGUUAGUUUAUUUAAGUUAAUUUUGCAGAAAUAUUUAAGGUUUACUAUGCCCAUAGCCGUCUUAAUAGUUAUACAUAAGUUAUUAUUAGAAAGAGUUUUUGAAGGGCCUCUACUGCCAUGUUACAAGAAUCCUUCGCUACAAAAUUGUAAUGAAAACUGGUGGUCAGCUCUCUUGCAUGUACAGAAUUACGUUAACCCAGAUAAUUUGUGCUUCCCACAUACAGGAUACUUGGAUGUACAUCUUCAGCUUCAAUUAACAUCUUUGGUUAUACUGACAGCAACAUCCUAUGGAUACAGACGGUGUAUUUUGAUAAUUCUUUCGUUAUUGAUCCUUGUAUCAAUCAGUUUUUCCUUCAUUCUUGUAUGGAGGGAGGAACUGAGAGUAUAUGGAUUCCUAUUAUAUGGCAUUACUGAAGAGACAAAUAAAUUCUUCACACGGUUUUAUAUUAAAACUCAUCUACGAAUGUCUGCGUGGAUAAUUGGAAUGAUUAUGGGAUAUCUUUUAUUCAUAACCAAGUCUGAAAAAAAUAAAAUUGACCUUAAUAGGGUGAUGGUUACCGUUACGUGGUUCGUGAUAUUAACAACAAUGGUUGCAUGCAUAUUUGCUGUUCAGAAUUUUGUUUUCUUCGAUGAAAAAUACAGCAAAUUGAAACAUUCAUUCCUCAUAGCUUUUGUUUGUCCUGUUUGGUGUUUGUCCCUAUGCUGGGUGAUUUUUGCAUGCACAAAUGGAUAUGGAGGUUUCAUAAAUACCUUCCUUAGUCUGUCAAUAUUUGGAGUUAUUAAAAAGAUAGCAUUUCCUAUGUAUUUAUUACAUUUUCCUCAAUUUGGUAUUACAACAUUUAGACAACGUCAGCAAGCUAUUUUCAAUGUGUUUAUUAUGCAUUAUCUUUUUUUCGGCGAUCUAAUUUAUACGAUCCUGUUUUCAAUAACAUGGUCACUUUUCUUUGACUUUCCAAUAAACGGUAUUUUCAAGUUGGCUCUUAAAAUGAAUAUAAGAAAAACGAAAUGAGAAAAUAAAUGCUUUGGGGAAAGCUAAAGAUAAUUAAUUCCAUAUUGAUUUUUGUUCAUUUGAGAUUUGAAAACAUCUAAUGAUUAUGGUGUUAUUUUAUUGUCAUCUUUUAUUUGUAAAAUCUCUAUAUUAUAUAUAUGUAUGCUCAUAACGCAGCAUUAAUCAAGUUUCUGUAAUAAUAAAUGCGUUACUACUCCUAAUUUACAAAAUUCAGAUUUUGUAAUAACUGUUGAGAUGUGAUUGCUCUUGUAAGUUACCAUUACCACGUGGUAUUUUGCACUCAGGCACAAUCCGUAAGUACUUCUUGCCUCGACAAUGGUCAGGAAGAAGAAUAUCUCAAGAUGUUUUUUGCGAGAGACUCGACUAUCUAUACGAUUAAAAGGAAAGCAACUAAUCAGCUUAUCGAGAACCAUAAUAAGCCAUGAUAUAAGUCUUCUCAAAAUUAUUUUCAAUGCUAUCAAGUACUUUACAUUUUACUAAAAGUAAUAUAUAUUCAUUUUAACUGUCCCGUUUAAAUUCUAGAAAGUUUUCAGUAUUCCAUCAUUAACUAGAUGCCACGAUUAUACCGACCAGUACAACCAAGAAGAAGUUUUCCUAAC
Agrilus planipennis (emerald ash borer) is the source of this 2683-nucleotide RNA transcript. It is a transcript of the gene named nose resistant to fluoxetine protein 6-like, with no coding region annotated. The record is from RefSeq and is a predicted model, not a curated record. The transcript has 14 exons. NCBI's taxonomy places the organism in Eukaryota, Metazoa, Arthropoda, Insecta, Coleoptera, Buprestidae.